Molecule: ribosomal RNA, 253 nt
Filed under: uncultured prokaryote
Description: partial 16S ribosomal RNA
Rfam family: Bacterial small subunit ribosomal RNA
Source: RNAcentral
ACGUAGGGUGCAAGCAUUAAUCGGAUUUAUUGGGCGUAAAGGGCGUGUAGGCGGACAUAUAAGUCAGAUGUGAAAUCCCGGGGCUCAACUCCGGAACAGCAUUUGAAACUGUAUAUCUAGAGGGUAGACGGAGAAAACGGAAUUCCACAAGUAGCGGUGAAAUGCGUAGAUAUGUGGAAGAACACCAGUGGCGAAGGCGGCGACCUGGGCCAAUAUUGACGCUGAGGUGCGAAAGCGUGGGGAGCAAACAGGA